This 551-nucleotide ribosomal RNA is filed under the name uncultured bacterium. Its description in RNAcentral is "partial 16S ribosomal RNA". It matches the Rfam family "Bacterial small subunit ribosomal RNA", at positions 355 to 900 of the family's 1533-position model. The record is from RNAcentral.
UGGGGAAUUUUGGACAAUGGGCGAAAGCCUGAUCCAGCAAUGCCGCGUGUGUGAAGAAGGCCUUCGGGUUGUAAAGCACUUUUGUCCGGAAAGAAAUCCUUGGCUCUAAUACAGUCGGGGGAUGACGGUACCGGAAGAAUAAGCACCGGCUAACUACGUGCCAGCAGCCGCGGUAAUACGUAGGGUGCAAGCGUUAAUCGGAAUUACUGGGCGUAAAGCGUGCGCAGGCGGUUUGCUAAGACCGAUGUGAAAUCCCCGGGCUCAACCUGGGAACUGCAUUGGUGACUGGCAGGCUAGAGUAUGGCAGAGGGGGGUAGAAUUCCACGUGUAGCAGUGAAAUGCGUAGAGAUGUGGAGGAAUACCGAUGGCGAAGGCAGCCCCCUGGGCCAAUACUGACGCUCAUGCACGAAAGCGUGGGGAGCAAACAGGAUUAGAUACCCUGGUAGUCCACGCCCUAAACGAUGUCAACUAGUUGUUGGGGAUUCAUUCCUUAGUAACGUAGCUAACGCGUGAAGUUGACCGCCUGGGGAGUACGGUCGCAAGAUUAAAAC